CUGACCCUCGCUCUGGCUACAGGGCUCGGAGGAUCCUGUCGUAUAACAUCGUGUUGACCGAUAGAUCUCUAACGCCAGGCCCUCAAGAUUUCCCUUUCCUCGGGAAUCGCAGGAAGGAUGGGUUGGCCGAGGUCAGCGCUGCGGCUUCUUCUGUGCGUGGUCAUCGCCGCCCACUCCGCGCGCAGCGCCUCUACCACAACCACUGAAGCCCCAACAACCACUGAAGCUGCCACAACCACCGUAGCUCCUACAACUACUGAGCCC
Penaeus indicus is the source of this 264-nucleotide long non-coding RNA. RefSeq lists it as uncharacterized. Lineage: Eukaryota; Metazoa; Arthropoda; Malacostraca; Decapoda; Penaeidae. The record is from RefSeq and is a predicted model, not a curated record. The transcript has 3 exons.